Molecule: long non-coding RNA, 729 nt
Organism: Orcinus orca (killer whale)
Lineage: Eukaryota; Metazoa; Chordata; Mammalia; Artiodactyla; Delphinidae
Exons: 6
Source: RefSeq, a predicted model, not a curated record
GUUGGGCGAAGUGGGAGGGGCGAGCGCACCCGCCGGGUUUUUUCACCCGCGGGCUGGACUCCGGCUCCGGUCCACUGCCGUUUGCGGGAGGCCGGUGGGCUGCCCGGACGGCAGCUGAAGUGACAGUUUACCUCCGACGGGACCGCGGAGGACCUGCCCCCGUGUGCGGAAGGCUGAGAAAGGCGGCACAUGAAGAAAUGCUCAGAGACACUAAUCUAAGGUCACACACCUAGUGAGAAUACCCAGGAUCUGAAUGCAUGUGAAUUCCACCUCACAGUCAAAAUUGCCUGCUAAAUUUCCAGAUAUUCUGCCUGCAUUUAAACCAGCGGGAAAGAGGAAAGGACAAAGAAUUGGACUUUCCACGCUUUAAGAAAACUUUCUGGAUGUUGCCCAUCAAGACUUAAACUGAAACAUCAGAUCUUCCUGGAUCUGGAGCCUGCCAGCCUUCAGAUUGGAACUACAUCAUUGGCUCCCCUGGGUCUCCAGCUUGCCAAUUCACCCUGCAGAUCUUGGGACUUGUCAGCCUCCAUAUAGUGAUCAGGCUAUCACCACCUGAAAAUGGAAGAAGCCUGGGACCUGAAAUGGGCAGUGAAGGAGAGCCGUACAACCAAGAAUACCUGUGCUCCUGUGUAUCACUGAACAUCCAGUAUGUGCCUGGCACCAUGCACAGAGUGAGCCUGCAUCCGCAAGAUGCAAGCAUUUCUCACCUAAGCUGCCGCUGAGCUUCCA